UUAUUUACCACGCAUUAGCGCAUAAUUUCAUUGGAGAGGAUUAUCAUAAAUAUGCAAGUUUAGGGUGUGUAUAAAUUACUUGCAUUUCGGUGGGUAAAAUUAAAAUUAGUCACGUUUUGAACUAGGCGGUUGCUUAUAUAUUAUAAAACUCCAGAGAAAAUACUACGCUAUUGUGUUUUUAUUUUUCCAAAAAUAAAGUAGUUAACCGAAAAAAAUGUGCAGUAUAUUUAUAAAAGACACAUUAAACCAAGCACAUCCUGAUGAAGAAGUUGUGACGGCAGAUGACGAUGAAGUUAAAAGUUCAUAAAAAAAUGACAAAGAUAGUUAACGCAGUGCAUAUUUAUGGCGCGGAAGACGAAUUUUCAAUUGUUUAUGUUUAGAAUAUUUAUUUAACACCUUUG
Long non-coding RNA from Hydra vulgaris (swiftwater hydra), 401 nucleotides. RefSeq lists it as uncharacterized. NCBI's taxonomy places the organism in Eukaryota, Metazoa, Cnidaria, Hydrozoa, Anthoathecata, Hydridae. The record is from RefSeq and is a predicted model, not a curated record.